This 1347-nucleotide ribosomal RNA is filed under the name uncultured bacterium. RNAcentral describes it as "bacterial SSU rRNA". It matches the Rfam family "Bacterial small subunit ribosomal RNA", at positions 28 to 1381 of the family's 1533-position model. The record is from RNAcentral.
GACGAACGCUGGCGGCGUGCUUAACACAUGCAAGUCGAACGGAAAGGCCCUGCUUUUGUGGGGUGCUCGAGUGGCGAACGGGUGAGUAACACGUGAGUAACCUGCCCUUGACUUUGGGAUAACUUCAGGAAACUGGGGCUAAUACCGGAUAGGAGCUCCUGCUGCAUGGUGGGGGUUGGAAAGUUUCGGCGGUUGGGGAUGGACUCGCGGCUUAUCAGCUUGUUGGUGGGGUAGUGGCUUACCAAGGCUUUGACGGGUAGCCGGCCUGAGAGGGUGACCGGCCACAUUGGGACUGAGAUACGGCCCAGACUCCUACGGGAGGCAGCAGUGGGGAAUAUUGCACAAUGGGCGGAAGCCUGAUGCAGCAACGCCGCGUGCGGGAUGACGGCCUUCGGGUUGUAAACCGCUUUCGCCUGUGACGAAGCGUGAGUGACGGUAAUGGGUAAAAGAAGCACCGGCUAACUACGUGCCAGCAGCCGCGGUGAUACGUAGGGUGCGAGCGUUGUCCGGAUUUAUUGGGCGUAAAGGGCUCGUAGGUGGUUGAUCGCGUCGGAAGUGUAAUCUUGGGGCUUAACCCUGAGCGUGCUUUCGAUACGGGUUGACUUGAGGAAGGUAGGGGAGAAUGGAAUUCCUGGUGGAGCGGUGGAAUGCGCAGAUAUCAGGAGGAACACCAGUGGCGAAGGCGGUUCUCUGGGCCUUUCCUGGCGCUGAGGAGCGAAAGCGUGGGGAGCGAACAGGCUUAGAUACCCUGGUAGUCCACGCUGUAAACGGUGGGUACUAGGUGUGGGGUCCAUUCCACGGGUUCCGUGCCGUAGCUAACGCUUUAAGUACCCCGCCUGGGGAGUACGGCCGCAAGGCUAAAACUCAAAGGAAUUGACGGGGCCCCGCACAAGCGGCGGAGCAUGCGGAUUAAUUCGAUGCAACGCGUAGAACCUUACCUGGGUUUGACAUGGAUCGGGAGCGCUCAGAGAUGGGUGUGCCUCUUUUGGGGUCGGUUCACAGGUGGUGCAUGGCUGUCGUCAGCUCGUGUCGUGAGAUGUUGGGUUAAGUCCCGCAACGAGCGCAACCCUUGUUCACUGUUGCCAGCACGUUAUGGUGGGGACUCAGUGGAGACCGCCGGGGUCAACUCGGAGGAAGGUGGGGAUGACGUCAAGUCAUCAUGCCCCUUAUGUCCAGGGCUUCACGCAUGCUACAAUGGCUGGUACAGAGAGUGGCGAGCCUGUGAGGGUGAGCGAAUCUCGGAAAGCCGGUCUCAGUUCGGAUUGGGGUCUGCAACUCGACCUCAUGAAGUCGGAGUCGCUAGUAAUCGCAGAUCAGCAACGCUGCGGUGAAUACGUUCCCGGGGCU